RNAcentral lists this long non-coding RNA (317 nucleotides) under Callithrix jacchus (white-tufted-ear marmoset). Its description in RNAcentral is "lncRNA (ENSCJAG00000080385.1)". The record is from RNAcentral. Lineage: Eukaryota; Metazoa; Chordata; Mammalia; Primates; Cebidae.
UAAAUAUUAGUUUCUAAUUUUUGUAAUUUUUCUGUGGUUAUAUAAGAGAAUGUCCUUGUUUUUAGGAAGUACACACUAACAUAUUUACAAUUAAAAAGUACAUUUUGUGGUCCAGGCGCAGUGGCUCAAGCCUGUAAUCCCAGCACUUUGGGAGGCCAAGGCGGGUGGAUCACGAGAUCUGCCUGCCUUGGCCUCCCAAAGUGCUAGGAUUACAGGUGUGAACCACCGUGCCCAGCACUGUUCUCUCUUUCUUGAUAGUUUCCCUUCUGACAUUUCUUUACAUCCUCCUCAGACACCCAGUAACUUUAAUAUUCCUC